RNAcentral lists this transfer RNA (55 nucleotides) under Aplidium tabarquensis. RNAcentral's name for it is "transfer RNA-Cys". Lineage: Eukaryota; Metazoa; Chordata; Ascidiacea; Aplousobranchia; Polyclinidae. The record is from RNAcentral.
UAAUUAGUAAAUAGAAAUCUGCAAAAUUUUUACAUAGUUUAUUAACUCUAAUUAU